UAUUUUGAUUAUAUCUUUGAAUAUGAUCUAUAGGAUUGUAUUAAAAUUGAAUAAAGCUUUGUUUAUAUAUUGAUAAUGACAGUAUAUAUAUCGUGUCUUGACUAAUUGCGUGCCAGCAGUCGCGGUAAUACGUAAGAGACUAGUGUUAUUCAUCUUAAUUAGGUUUAAAGGGUACCUAGACGGUCAAUAUAGCUUCUAAAAUGUUAGUACUUGACUAGAGUUUUAUGUAAGAGGGCAGUACUUGAGGAGGAGAGAUGAAAUUCUAUGAUACCAAAGGGACUCGGUAAAGGCGAAGGCAGCCCUCUAUGUAAAAMCUGACGUUAAAGGACGAAGGCACAGAGCACAAACAGGAUUAGAUACCCAAGUAGUCUUUGCAGUAAAUSAUGAAUGCCAUAGGUUAGAUUAASAUUUAAUAUUAUMAUUYGAMAUUAGUAUUAAACAUUAUUUGGUCUAUAAAUGAMAGUGUAAGCAUUUCACCUCAAGAGUAAUGUGGCAACGCAGGAACUGAAAUCACUAGACCGUUUCUGACACCAGUAGUGAAGUAUGUUAUUUAAUUCGAUAAU
This 563-nucleotide ribosomal RNA is filed under the name Trichoderma polysporum. Its description in RNAcentral is "SSU rRNA". It matches the Rfam family "Bacterial small subunit ribosomal RNA", at positions 389 to 958 of the family's 1533-position model. Lineage: Eukaryota; Fungi; Ascomycota; Sordariomycetes; Hypocreales; Hypocreaceae. The record is from RNAcentral. RNAcentral also lists the same sequence under 1 other name.